RNAcentral lists this ribosomal RNA (504 nucleotides) under uncultured bacterium. RNAcentral's name for it is "partial 16S ribosomal RNA". It matches the Rfam family "Bacterial small subunit ribosomal RNA", at positions 30 to 523 of the family's 1533-position model. The record is from RNAcentral.
AUUGAACGCUGGCGGCAGGCCUAACACAUGCAAGUCGAACGGUAGCACAGAGAGCUUGCUCUUGGGUGACGAGUGGCGGACGGGUGAGUAAUGUCUGGGAAACUGCCCGAUGGAGGGGGGUAACUACUGGAAACGGUAGCUAAUACCGCAUAACGUCUUCGGACCAAAGUGGGGGACCUUCGGGCCUCACACCAUCGGAUGUGCCCAGAUGGGAUUAGCUAGUAGGUGGGGUAAUGGCUCACCUAGGCGACGAUCCCUAGCUGGUCUGAGAGGAUGACCAGCCACACUGGAACUGAGACACGGUCCAGACUCCUGCGGGAGGCAGCAGUGGGGAAUAUUGCACAAUGGGCGCAAGCCUGAUGCAGCCAUGCCGCGUGUAUGAAGAAGGCCUUCGGGUUGUAAAGUACUUUCAGCGGGGAGGAAGGCGUUAAGGUUAAUAACCUUGGCGAUUGACGUUACCCGCAGAAGAAGCACCGGCUAACUCCGUGCCAGCAGCCGCGGUAA